AAAGAAAGUGAAGGUAAGUGAGAGAGAGGUUAAGAGGUGAUGGGCCUUAAGGUUAGGUGAAUUUGAAAGCACAUUUAAAGAUGGAACGUUUUGGAGCACGGCUCUGUAAGAGAAGGGUAGGAUUUCGGGUCCCGAAUUAGGGGGAUCUAUUUUAGUCUAUGUGUGUUGUUGCAGAACCUUGGUAAGAAGAAAUAGUCGCGAAAUGCAAUUCGGACCUUAGGAUAGCUGGUUAGCUUUUGAGGACAUUUAAGUGUUGUGGCCUUUGUUUGGAGGUUAGGGGGCUCGUGGCGAUAAUGUCGCGGGUUUAGAGAACGGUGGGGGUGAUGGAGUUGUUUUAGUAGUGUGGGGAUUGCUCUUCUGGUGGAGUUUGUAAUAAAUCAGAAAUUUUUGUAUAAAAGGCAUUGUUAUUCCGUCUAAGAAGAAAGGGCUCAAAUAUUUAAAUGGUUUGGUAUUUGGAUACUGUAGAGGUUAGUCGGAAAACAGAAAGUUUACCAUAUAAGGUUUUUAAAGGUUUAUGGAGAAACUGGUGGAUUUAAGAAUACAUGUAAAAAAGGAACUCGGCAAGCAAGUUUCUCGAAUGUUUAUUAAAAACAUUGCUGCAUGGAAGAAUGUGCGGUAAGUACUGCCCGGUGCAUAAGUGUAAACGGUGGCGUAAGGUUUUAAAGUAGCGAAAUACCUAGCCCUUUAAUUGGGGGCGUGCAUGAAGUAUUAACGAGGGAGCGACUGUCUCUUUUGCAUAAAUCUUAAAUAGAACUCUAAGUGAAGUUGCUUAGAUAAGGCCAAAAGACGAUAAGACCCCGUGCAGCUUUACUUAACUGAUAAAUGAUUUUUAGGAUGGUUUAGCUGGGGAAGCUGGAAAAGUUGAGCUUUUUUCUUUUUUUGUUAGGGGCACCUUGAGAGCUGGUUUAGACCAAGUAGGGGAAUAGUUACGCCGGGGGUAACAGGACGCUUUUGAAAUGGAGUUCAUAUUGAUUUCAAAGUGUGUUACAUCGAUGUUGAAUCAAGGCGCUUCUGGGUGUAGAGGCUCAGAUUUGGGGGUCUGUUCGACCUUUAAAGCCUUACGUGAUUUGAGUUUAGAACGGCGUAAGCCAGUUUGGUUUCUAUCUUUGGUUAAGAGAUUAAGCAAUUUUGUACGCAAGGAAUUUUUGGAUGGCUGGGAAGCUGAUUUAUUG
Molecule: ribosomal RNA, 1172 nt
Filed under: Pinctada maxima (silver-lipped pearl oyster)
Lineage: Eukaryota; Metazoa; Mollusca; Bivalvia; Pterioida; Pteriidae
Description: large subunit ribosomal RNA
Rfam family: Bacterial large subunit ribosomal RNA
Source: RNAcentral